CCUACGGGCGGCUGCAGUGGGGAAUAUUGGACAAUGGGGGCAACCCUGAUCCAGCCAUGCCGCGUGUGUGAAGAAGGCCCUCGGGUUGUAAAGCACUUUCAGUGAGGAAGAACGCCUGGUGGUUAAUACCCAUCAGGAAAGACAUCACUCACAGAAGAAGCACCGGCUAACUCCGUGCCAGCAGCCGCGGUAAUACGGAGGGUGCGAGCGUUAAUCGGAAUUACUGGGCGUAAAGCGCGCGUAGGUGGCUUGAUAAGCCGGUUGUGAAAGCCCCGGGCUCAACCGGGGAACGGCAUCCGGAACUGUCAAGCUAGAGUGCAGGAGAGGAAAGUAGAAUUCCCGGUGUAGCGGUGAAAUGCGUAGAGAUCGGGAGGAAUACCAGUGGCGAAGGCGGCCUUCUGGACUGACACUGACACUGAGGUGCGAAAGCGUGGGUAGCAAACAGGAUUAGAUACCCCUGUAGUC
Molecule: ribosomal RNA, 465 nt
Filed under: Vreelandella stevensii
Lineage: Bacteria; Pseudomonadati; Pseudomonadota; Gammaproteobacteria; Oceanospirillales; Halomonadaceae
Description: partial 16S ribosomal RNA
Rfam family: Bacterial small subunit ribosomal RNA
Source: RNAcentral